ACGCUCGACACCUACGUGAGGCAGCAGUGGGGAAUAUUGCACAAUGGGGGAAACCCUGAUGCAGCGACGCCGCGUGAAGGAAGAAGUAUCUCGGUAUGUAAACUUCUAUCAGCAGGGAAGAAAGUGACGGUACCUGACUAAGAAGCCCCGGCUAACUACGUGCCAGUAGCCGCGGUAAUCUGAGCGGGCUGGCAAGGC
Molecule: ribosomal RNA, 198 nt
Filed under: uncultured bacterium
Lineage: Bacteria
Description: partial 16S ribosomal RNA
Rfam family: Bacterial small subunit ribosomal RNA
Source: RNAcentral